UCAGGAAUAGUCGGCAAUGGGCGAAAGCCUGACCGCGCGACACCGCGUGUAGGAUGAAGUUCUCAACGAGCGUAAACUACUGUGGUAGAGGAAGAAGUUCCGCCUUAGGCGGAAUUGACGGUACUCUACUAGAAAGGGGCCGCUAACUGCGUGCCAGAAGCGUCGGUAAGACGUGGGCCUCAAGCGUUAUCCGGUGCCAUUGGGCGUAAAAGGUCGUGUAGGCGGUCUGAUAAGUCUUGAUUUAAAUACUCUGGCUCAACCAGAGGAAAGGUCAGGAUACUGUCAGACUAGAAUUUUCUUUAGGGAGACUGGAACUUAACAAGGAGCAGUGAAAUGUGUUGAUAUGUUAAGGAACACCAUUGGCGAAGGCGAGUCUCUGGAAGUUAAUUGACGCUGAGACACGAAAGCUAGGGGAGCGAAGCAGAUUAGAGACCUGCGUAGUCCUAGCCCUAAACGUAUGUUUGCUAGCUGCAUGA
RNAcentral lists this ribosomal RNA (476 nucleotides) under uncultured bacterium. RNAcentral's name for it is "bacterial SSU rRNA". It matches the Rfam family "Bacterial small subunit ribosomal RNA", at positions 355 to 827 of the family's 1533-position model. The record is from RNAcentral.